UAUUGAGCAAUCGAUUCGGGU
Molecule: non-coding RNA, 21 nt
Organism: Caenorhabditis elegans
Lineage: Eukaryota; Metazoa; Nematoda; Chromadorea; Rhabditida; Rhabditidae
Source: Ensembl